Molecule: long non-coding RNA, 158 nt
Organism: Sebastes umbrosus (honeycomb rockfish)
Lineage: Eukaryota; Metazoa; Chordata; Actinopteri; Perciformes; Sebastidae
Exons: 2
Source: RefSeq, a predicted model, not a curated record
GUAACAUCCAGAAUGAAAUAAGCUAUCACAAUACCAGGCCUGCUUUUUGUGUUGCCUCGGACAGUCCCUCUGUUAGCCAGCAGAGAGCAGCGCCGUGCUGAAUAAAGACACUAACUUCCUGAGAGAGGAAAAGGAGGAUAACAAACAGCAGCGGUGAG